RNAcentral lists this ribosomal RNA (279 nucleotides) under uncultured Neisseria sp. RNAcentral describes it as "partial 16S ribosomal RNA". It matches the Rfam family "Bacterial small subunit ribosomal RNA", at positions 8 to 282 of the family's 1533-position model. The record is from RNAcentral. Lineage: Bacteria; Pseudomonadati; Pseudomonadota; Betaproteobacteria; Neisseriales; Neisseriaceae.
AGAGUUUGAUCCUGGCUCAGAUUGAACGCUGGCGGCAUGCUUUACACAUGCAAGUCGGACGGCAGCACAGAGAAGCUUGCUUCUUGGGUGGCGAGUGGCGGACGGGUGAGUAAUAUAUCGGAACGUACCGAGUAAUGGGGGAUAACUAAUCGAAAGAUUAGCUAAUACCGCAUAUUCUCUGAGGAGGAAAGCAGGGGGACCUUCGGGCCUUGCGUUAUUCGAGCGGCCGAUAUCUGAUUAGCUAGUUGGUGGGGUAAAGGCCUACCAAGGCGACGAUCA